RNAcentral lists this ribosomal RNA (253 nucleotides) under uncultured bacterium. RNAcentral's name for it is "partial 16S ribosomal RNA". It matches the Rfam family "Bacterial small subunit ribosomal RNA", at positions 524 to 776 of the family's 1533-position model. The record is from RNAcentral.
UACGAGUGGUGCAAGCGUUAUUCGGAAUCAUUGGGCGUAAAGGGCGCGUAGACGGUAUGCUAAGUCAGCUGUUAAAUCCCUCGGCUUAACCGAGGAUAUGCGGCUGAAACUGAUGUACUUGAGGGUGGAAGAGAGAAGUGGAAUUCUCGGAGUAGCGGUAAAAUGCGUAGAUCUCGAGAGGAACACCAAUGGCGAAGGCAGCUUCUUGGUCCAUUCCUGACGUUGAGGCGCGAAAGCGUGGGGAGCAAACAGG